This is a long non-coding RNA of Rhododendron vialii, 1190 nucleotides long. RefSeq lists it as uncharacterized. The record is from RefSeq and is a predicted model, not a curated record. The transcript is spliced from 3 exons. Lineage: Eukaryota; Viridiplantae; Streptophyta; Magnoliopsida; Ericales; Ericaceae.
GUUAUUUCUAUGUCCGACGCUUUCUUCCUCGCCCAAAGGUAUCGAUUUGUACAUUAAGCCGUCGAUUUCAUCAUUCCAUGUUACCUAAUUUAAUUCAGGUCGAUCUUCUUUGUCGGUUUUGUCGGUGCUUGGAUUUUUUGUUUUAAUUUGGCGUUUAUUGUUAUUAUUGCCGGUCUUUAUCGCGAAAACUAUCAUUUUCCAUUUCUUUAAGAUGUACUUGUAUGUGAAUUUCGAAGUGUAAAAGCCCCUUGUUGAUUAUCUGGUGGAACAUUGGCUGUGGCGCCAAUUCUCUCAUAACGGAGCUGGAUGAAAAUGUAGUUAACGGAGCUGGAUGAGGUAGCCGCGUGAAUUCAGAUGGUUGCAAAAGAAGCAGCGACGCCAGAUUCUGCUUUGAAGUUGCCAUUGACUGCAGAAAAUGUGGAGGGUGUGCUGGAUGAAAUCGACCCUAUCUCAUUGCAGACGGUGGUAAAGUGGCACUACAUGAAAUUGAGGGAAAUGUUGUGAGGUUGAACCUACGAGGAGCAUGUGGCUCCUGUCCAAGUUCUGUGACGACUAUGAAGAUGGGUAUCGAGAUUCAAGCGUCGUUUAAUGGGAAAAAAAUCCCUGAAAUAUAUAGUUGCUUUGGAAUCAAUAGCAUGAGGAAACUACAUAGAGAAGGUAAUAGUACAUGUGCAUUUGUCAUUGUCCGAUAAGUACUAAUGCAUCUGCAUUGGUUUCAUAUAAAAUGAUAUGGCUCGUGCUGACUGCUGAGUCUGCCCCUUUAGAUAGAGACGUGAACGAACAUAGUAUAACUGGGGGAAAUGGUGAGUGUAGACAUGACACUAGCUGGGAAUUGAUAUUCAUUCCUAGCUAUUCCUUAAUCCUAGCUAGCAGCAAAAGCUUAGUCUGAUUCGAAGUUUAAUCCGGUCAAACGAAUGGAGCCUCAUUGAUAAUCUGGAAGAGUCACAAAUACUUCUAGAUAUAUGUGGUUCCAUCAUUUAUUUUUUCGAAUAAUAGGGAGUAGUUUUUUGACUGAUUUUACUUACUGAUAUGAGUCUUGAUUUCUUCAUGCGCGGGAGUAGAAAACUCGAGUCGUUGGUCCGCGGCGUCUGCCAGACCCACUGAUUGGAUUUCGAUCAUUGUAUCUUGGGGAUAGACGUCUAAAGAUUCCGUUAGCACCGCAGCAGUGACAAAUCUAUUUUAGACAGUGU